GUUCGACCGAAUUUCCAGAGUCAGUUCUUCACUACUUCGAAAGUUUGAACAUCGGCAAAGUUCAACAGAAUUUCCAGAGUCUAUCCUUCACUACUUCCAGACACCAUGGAUUUCUCGGCAGACAGCUUGGUGAUUAUUUCUGAUGAUGAGAUUCCCGAAACAACCACUCAUGACCUUUUGAAUCUGAGUUCCACACAAUUUGAGGGAAACGUGACUAACAGUGAUUAUGACGGAGAUAUUUCAGAUACGAGUGAUGCAAUAGAAGACCAAGAGGAAAUCAUCUCGGAAACCGACAUUCAACAAGACAUCGAACUACAACAGAUCUGCGCAGUGUGGCGUGAAUUCUUCGAAGCAAAGACUGAUUUAUUGGAAAACUUUGGACAGAUUGAUUAUACACUUGAUUCUGGUCG
Long non-coding RNA from Ictalurus punctatus (channel catfish), 410 nucleotides. NCBI's taxonomy places the organism in Eukaryota, Metazoa, Chordata, Actinopteri, Siluriformes, Ictaluridae. The record is from Ensembl.